Molecule: ribosomal RNA, 301 nt
Filed under: uncultured bacterium
Lineage: Bacteria
Description: partial 16S ribosomal RNA
Rfam family: Bacterial small subunit ribosomal RNA
Source: RNAcentral
CAGCAGCCACGGGAAUACGAAGGGGGCUAGCGUUGUUCGGAUUUACUGGGCGUAAAGCGCACGUAGGCGGACUUUUAAGUCAGGAGUGAAAUCCCGGGGCUCAACCCCGGAACUGCCUUUGAUACUGGAAGUCUUGAGUAUGGUAGAGGUGAGUGGAAUUCCGAGUGUAGAGGUGAAAUUCGUAGAUAUUCGGAGGAACACCAGUGGCGAAGGCGGCUCACUGGACCAUUACUGACGCUGAGGUGCGAAAGCGUGGGGAGCAAACAGGAUUAGAUACCCCGGUAGUCCCUGUCUCUUAUAC